GCAAAACGCGAAGAACCUUACCAGGCCUUGACAUGCAGAGAACUUUCCAGAGAUGGAUUGGUGCCUUCGGGAACUCUGACACAGGUGCUGCAUGGCUGUCGUCAGCUCGUGUCGUGAGAUGUUGGGUUAAGUCCCGUAACGAGCGCAACCCUUGUCCUUAGUUACCAGCACGUCAUGGUGGGCACUCUAAGGAGACUGCCGGCGACAAACCGGAGGAAGGUGGGGAUGGACGUCAAGUCAUCAUGGCCCUUACGGCCUGGGCUACACACGCGCUACAAUGGUCGGUACAGAGGGUUGCCAAGCCGCGAGGUGGAGGCUAAUCUCACAAAACCGAUCGUAGUCCGGAUCGCAGUCUGCAACUCGACUGCGUGAAGUCGGAAUCGC
Molecule: ribosomal RNA, 384 nt
Filed under: uncultured bacterium
Lineage: Bacteria
Description: bacterial SSU rRNA
Rfam family: Bacterial small subunit ribosomal RNA
Source: RNAcentral